UCACAGGAAACAGCUAUGACCAUGAUUACGCCAAGCUUGGUACCGAGCUCGGAUCCACUAGUAACGGCCGCCAGUGUGCUGGAAUUCGGCUUAUUACCGCGGCUGCUGGCACGGAGUUAGCCGAGGCUUAUUCCUUAGGUACCGUCAGGUUUCUUCCCUAAGAAAAGCGGUUUACGACCCAAGGGCCUUCCUCCCGCACGCGGUAUUGCUCCGUCAGGCUUUCGCCCAUUGCGGAAAAUUCCCCACUGCUGCCUCCCGUAGGAAGCCGAAUUCUGCAGAUAUCCAUCACACUGGCGGCCGCUCGAGCAUGCAUCUAGAGGGCCCAAUUCGCCCUAUAGUGAGUCGUAUUACAAUUCACUGGCCGUCGUUUUACAACGUCA
RNAcentral lists this ribosomal RNA (380 nucleotides) under uncultured bacterium. Its description in RNAcentral is "partial 16S ribosomal RNA". The record is from RNAcentral.